Molecule: ribosomal RNA, 253 nt
Filed under: uncultured bacterium
Lineage: Bacteria
Description: partial 16S ribosomal RNA
Rfam family: Bacterial small subunit ribosomal RNA
Source: RNAcentral
UACGUAGGGUGCGAGCGUUAAUCGGAAUUACUGGGCGUAAAGCGUGCGCAGGCGGUUCGACAAGUCCGAUGUGAAAGCCCCGGGCUCAACCUGGGAAUGGCAUUGGAAACUGGCGAGCUUGAGUGUGGCAGAGGGGGGUGGAAUUCCGCGUGUAGCAGUGAAAUGCGUAGAGAUGCGGAGGAACACCGGUGGCGAAGGCGGAUCUCUGGGCCGUAACUGACGCUGAGGAGCGAAAGCAUGGGGAGCGAACAGG